UGAGGAAUAUUGGUCAAUGGGCGAGAGCCUGAACCAGCCAAGUAGCGUGCAGGAAGACGGCCCUAUGGGUUGUAAACUGCUUUUAUGUGGGGAUAAAGUGCGUGACGUGUCAUGCAUUGCAGGUACCACAUGAAUAAGGACCGGCUAAUUCCGUGCCAGCAGCCGCGGUAAUACGGAAGGUCCGGGCGUUAUCCGGAUUUAUUGGGUUUAAAGGGAGCGUAGGCUGUCUAUUAAGCGUGUUGUGAAAUAUACCGGCUCAACCGGUGGCUUGCAGCGCGAACUGGUCGACUUGAGUAUGCAGGAAGUAGGCGGAAUUCAUGGUGUAGCGAUGAAAUGCUUAGAUAUCAUGACGAACUCCGGUUGCGAAGGCGGCUUACGGGAGCGCAACUGACGCUAAAGCUCGAAGGUGCGGGUAUCGAACAGG
RNAcentral lists this ribosomal RNA (424 nucleotides) under Verrucomicrobiota bacterium. RNAcentral's name for it is "Verrucomicrobia bacterium partial 16S ribosomal RNA". It matches the Rfam family "Bacterial small subunit ribosomal RNA", at positions 355 to 776 of the family's 1533-position model. Lineage: Bacteria; Pseudomonadati; Verrucomicrobiota. The record is from RNAcentral.